This is a non-coding RNA of Cyanistes caeruleus (blue tit), 712 nucleotides long. The record is from RefSeq and is a predicted model, not a curated record. Lineage: Eukaryota; Metazoa; Chordata; Aves; Passeriformes; Paridae.
UAAGGACAGAUGAGAAAUGUUGUAUUUUGGUAGAAGAGUUUGCUGAUUUUCAUUUUUUCCCUUCCCUCCAGCAUCCUCCCACUCCAGGUCUGUGGGCCUAGGAGCGGCGGCCGCAGCAGUUCUGCUGCUCCUGGGGGCAGGCGUUGUCUGGAAAAUAAUCUCCAAGCAGAAGGAAGGCUAUUAUCGUACCUAUGAGAACUACAAUUACAGAACCCCCCUGAACUCAGCAACUGAGCACAAAGACUUGUGUCUGCCAUAGGAGGCUGGGCAUCCGUGCUGCUGCUAACCAGGCACCGGGCUCCGAGGAAACGCUGCUUACAUGGAGACUGGAAUUCUGUGCCCAAAAAAGGACAUUUUACUGUAAAUCUUGAAUGCUUUUCUGCUCUCAGUAGUUACUGUGAGGAUUUAACGAGGCUCAGAUGGCACAGUGCAGGUGCUGCCUCGGAGGGAAUUCUGUGCGCUGCUCCUGAUGAAGAAUAUUUCCUUUAUCCCCAAAAAACUGGAUAACCAAGAAGAUAAACCUGAGCUUUGGCAGACAGAAACAUAACCCCCAUUCCCUGUCUCCCUGCACCCACCAAAACACACCUGGGCAAGGUGUUAAUUAAUUAAUGUCUUAAUUACAGCUGUAUUUACAUCUUUAUUUCCUUCCAGCAAUGCUUAUGUGCAGCAUUCUUCUACCAAUGCUUAACCUAAUAAAAGCUGAUGAUUACAA